GAUGAACGCUGGCGGCGUGCUUAACACAUGCAAGUCGAACGAUGAAGCCCAGCUUGCUGGGUGGAUUAGUGGCGAACGGGUGAGUAACACGUGAGUAACCUGCCCUUAACUCUGGGAUAAGCCUGGGAAACUGGGUCUAAUACCGGAUAGGAGCGUCCACCGCAUGGUGGGGGUUGGAAAGAUUUAUCGGUUUUGGAUGGACUCGCGGCCUAUCAGCUUGUUGGUGAGGUAAUGGCUCACCAAGGCGACGACGGGUAGCCGGCCUGAGAGGGUGACCGGCCACACUGGGACUGAGACACGGCCCAGACUCCUACGGGAGGCAGCAGUGGGGAAUAUUGCACAAUGGGCGGAAGCCUGAUGCAGCGACGCCGCGUGAGGGAUGACGGCCUUCGGGUUGUAAACCUCUUUCAGUAGGGAAGAAGCGAAAGUGACGGUACCUGCAGAAGAAGCACCGGCUAACUACGUG
This 466-nucleotide ribosomal RNA is filed under the name uncultured bacterium. Its description in RNAcentral is "partial 16S ribosomal RNA". It matches the Rfam family "Bacterial small subunit ribosomal RNA", at positions 28 to 507 of the family's 1533-position model. The record is from RNAcentral.